AUUGAACGCUGGCGGCAGGCCUAACACAUGCAGGUCGAGCGGAUGAAGGGAGCUUGCUCCUGGAUUCAGCGGCGGACGGGUGAGUAAUGCCUAGGAAUCUGCCUGGUAGUGGGGGAUAACGUCCGGAAACGGGCGCUAAUACCGCAUACGUCCUGAGGGAGAAAGUGGGGGAUCUUCGGACCUCACGCUAUCAGAUGAGCCUAGGUCGGAUUAGCUAGUUGGUGGGGUAAAGGCCUACCAAGGCGGCGAUCCGUAACUGGUCUGAGAGGCUGAUCAGUCACACUGGAACUUGGACACGGUCCAGACUCCUACGGGAGGCAGCAGAGGGGAAUAUUGGACAAUGGGCGAAAGCCUGAUCCAGCCAUGCCGCGUGUGUGAAGAAGGUCUUCGGAUUGUAAAGCACUUUAAGUUGGGAGGAAGGGCAGUAAGUUAAUACCUUGCUGUUUUGACGUUACCAACAGAAUAAGCACCGGCUAACUUCGUG
RNAcentral lists this ribosomal RNA (484 nucleotides) under uncultured bacterium. Its description in RNAcentral is "partial 16S ribosomal RNA". It matches the Rfam family "Bacterial small subunit ribosomal RNA", at positions 30 to 507 of the family's 1533-position model. The record is from RNAcentral.